This 775-nucleotide ribosomal RNA is filed under the name uncultured Acidobacteriota bacterium. RNAcentral describes it as "bacterial SSU rRNA". It matches the Rfam family "Bacterial small subunit ribosomal RNA", at positions 67 to 822 of the family's 1533-position model. The record is from RNAcentral. Lineage: Bacteria; Pseudomonadati; Acidobacteriota.
CGCGGUUUCCCCGCAAGGGGAAACUGAGUGGCGAACGGGUGAGUAACACGUGGGUGACCUGCCUUCGAGUGGGGGAUAACAUCCCGAAAGGGGUGCUAAUACCGCAUGACAUCCUGCCUUUGAAGAGGCGGAGAUUAAAGCUGGGGAUCGCAAGACCUGGCGCUUGAAGAGGGGCCCGCGUCCGAUUAGCUAGUUGGUGGGGUAAUGGCCUACCAAGGCGACGAUCGGUAGCCGGCCUGAGAGGGCGGACGGCCACACUGGGACUGAGACACGGCCCAGACUCCUACGGGAGGCAGCAGUGGGGAAUUGUUCGCAAUGGGCGCAAGCCUGACGACGCAACGCCGCGUGGAGGACGAAGAUCUUCGGGUCGUAAACUCCUUUCGAUCGGGACGAAUGGCCGGUGGACCAACACUCCAUCGGAAUGACGGUACCGAGAGAAGAAGCCCCGGCUAACUCCGUGCCAGCAGCCGCGGUAAUACGGGGGGGGCAAGCGUUGUUCGGAAUUACUGGGCGUAAAGGGCGCGUAGGCGGCCUGCUAAGUCGAACGUGAAAUCCCCGGGCUCAACCCGGGAACUGCGUCCGAGACUGGCAGGCUCGAAUCCGGGAGAGGGAUGUGGAAUUCCAGGUGUAGCGGUGAAAUGCGUAGAUAUCUGGAGGAACAUCGGUGGCGAACGCGGCAUCCUGGACCGGUAUUGACGCUGAGGCGCGAAAGCCAGGGGAGCAAACGGGAUUAGAUACCCCGGUAGUCCUGGCCCUAAACGAUGAAUGCUUGGUG